RNAcentral lists this ribosomal RNA (484 nucleotides) under uncultured bacterium. Its description in RNAcentral is "partial 16S ribosomal RNA". It matches the Rfam family "Bacterial small subunit ribosomal RNA", at positions 29 to 507 of the family's 1533-position model. The record is from RNAcentral.
AUUGAACGCUGGCGGAAUGCUUUACACAUGCAAGUCGAGCGGCAGCGCGGCCUUCGGGCUGGCGGCGAGCGGCGAACGGGUGAGUAAUGCAUCGGAACAUGCCCAGUCGUGGGGGAUAACACUUCGAAAGAAGUGCUAAUACCGCAUACGUCCUGAGGGGGAAAGCGGGGGAUCGCAAGACCUCGCGCGAUUGGAGUGGCCGAUGUCAGAUUAGCUAGUUGGUGGGGUAAAGGCCUACCAAGGCGACGAUCUGUAGCUGGUCUGAGAGGAUGAUCAGCCACACUGGGACUGAGACACGGCCCAGACUCCUACGGGAGGCAGCAGUGGGGAAUUUUGGACAAUGGGGGCAACCCUGAUCCAGCCAUUCCGCGUGAGUGAAGAAGGCCUUCGGGUUGUAAAGCUCUUUCGGCAGGAACGAGACGGUGGGCUCUAACAUAGUCCGCUAAUGACGGUACCUGAAGAAGAAGCACCGGCUAACUACGUG